RNAcentral lists this ribosomal RNA (490 nucleotides) under uncultured bacterium. RNAcentral's name for it is "partial 16S ribosomal RNA". It matches the Rfam family "Bacterial small subunit ribosomal RNA", at positions 28 to 507 of the family's 1533-position model. The record is from RNAcentral.
GAUGAACGCUAGCGAUAGGCUUAACACAUGCAAGUCGAGGGGCAGCAUGGUCUUAGCUUGCUAAGACUGAUGGCGACCGGCGCACGGGUGCGUAACGCGUAUGCAACUUGCCUCACAGAGGGGGAUAACCCGUCGAAAGACGGACUAAUACCGCGUACACUCUAUUUUGGGCAUCCAAGGUAGAGGAAAUGAAAUUCGCUGUGAGAUAGGCAUGCGUCCCAUUAGCUAGUUGGUGAGGUAACGGCUCACCAAGGCGACGAUGGGUAGGGGAACUGAGAGGUUGAACCCCCACACUGGUACUGAGACACGGACCAGACUCCUACGGGAGGCAGCAGUGAGGAAUAUUGGUCAAUGGGCGAGAGCCUGAACCAGCCAAGUCGCGUGAAGGAUGACUGUCUUAUGGAUUGUAAACUUCUUUUGUAGGGGAAUAAAGAGGGGCACGUGUGCCCCAGUGAAUGCACCCUACGAAUAAGCAUCGGCUAACUCCGUG